RNAcentral lists this ribosomal RNA (253 nucleotides) under uncultured bacterium. RNAcentral's name for it is "partial 16S ribosomal RNA". It matches the Rfam family "Bacterial small subunit ribosomal RNA", at positions 524 to 776 of the family's 1533-position model. The record is from RNAcentral.
UACGAAGGUCCCGAGCGUUAUCCGGAUUUAUUGGGGUUAAAGGGUGCGUAGGUGGCUUUGUAAGUCAGUGGUGAAAGCCCGGAGCUCAACUCCGGAACUGCCAUUGAUACUGCUUAGCUUGAAUCACGUCGAGGUGGAUGGAAUAAUACAUGUAGCGGUGAAAUGCUUAGAUAUGUAUUAGAACACCGAUUGCGAAGGCAGUUCACUAGGCGUGUAUUGACACUGAGGCACGAAAGCGUGGGGAUCAAACAGG